CCGGCGCGGAUGGACACUCAGCUCUUGGUUCCCUGUCUCCCUGCAGGACGCCUGGGGCCAUGCCCGGGAUGAGUGGCUGCUCCUGCCCUGGGAGGAGGCGCCGGAGGCCCGCGGAUGCCCAGGCGGGCAGACACCGCCCCACCCCGACGGGGCCCCGGGACCGCACGCCUCCGCAGGCCAGCCGGCCGAGGCGCCCUGCGGCCUGGGUGGCGUCGAGGCUGGGCGAGGCCCCUCGGAGCUGGUGCCCGGCCUGGAGACUGCAGCCUGGCUCCUGGCAGAGCUGGUGGCUCCUGACCACGGACAGCCCGCUCUGGCUGAGCCCGCCCUGCAGGGACAGACGCUCCUCCUGCUCUGUGGCUGCCCCUCUGGGCAGAGCGCCGACGCCUCCCCUCUCCCCACGGAGCUGGCCUGGGUCUCCGCGCAGAGGCCAGUGGCUGCCGCGGCCCAGGAGUCCCUCCUGCUGCGGACGGCCGUGCUCCCGCCCUGGGGGCCCGACGGGGGCCCCGCCGCCCUGCUGCUCCAGGCCGUGUUCACAGAGUCCCAGACCCAGCAGGGGCUGGACGCGGGGCCCCUGCCUGCGCCCCGAGCUGUGGGACAGUCUUGCUG
Molecule: long non-coding RNA, 606 nt
Organism: Pipistrellus kuhlii (Kuhl's pipistrelle)
Lineage: Eukaryota; Metazoa; Chordata; Mammalia; Chiroptera; Vespertilionidae
Exons: 3
Source: RefSeq, a predicted model, not a curated record